Molecule: non-coding RNA, 19 nt
Filed under: Arabidopsis thaliana (thale cress)
Lineage: Eukaryota; Viridiplantae; Streptophyta; Magnoliopsida; Brassicales; Brassicaceae
Source: RNAcentral
UCUUGUGCGACGAGAUGGU